RNAcentral lists this ribosomal RNA (292 nucleotides) under uncultured Acidobacteriota bacterium. Its description in RNAcentral is "uncultured Acidobacteria bacterium partial 16S ribosomal RNA". The record is from RNAcentral. Lineage: Bacteria; Pseudomonadati; Acidobacteriota.
GGACUACUGGGGUAUCUAAUCCUGUUUGCUACCCACGCUUUCGUGUCUCAGCGUCAGUAAUGGUCCAGAAAGCCGUCUACACCGCAGGUGUUCCUCCUGAUAUCUACGCAUUUCACCGCUACACCAGGAAUUCCGCUUUCCUCUCCCACACUCGAGCAUUCCAGUUUUCGGCGCACCCUCCCAGUUGAGCCGGGAGAUUUCACACCGAACUUAGAACACCGCCUACACACUCUUUACGCCCAGUAACUCCGAACAACGCUUGCUGCCUACGUAUUACCGCGGCGGCUGGCAC